ACAACAUGCGGGCGGGGAUCUUCUCUGACAUGUUUUGGUAUGCUCUGAUCUCUGACAUGGUUAGAAGCCGUUGCUGCUCCGCCCCAAGGACCCCGCCGAGCCGUCACCGUCGUCACUCUGGCUGACAUCAGAAGUACCACGCCACGUGAGAACGGAUCAGAAGGGGACCCACAGGAUCGGUCGAGGCGGGAGGCGAGCUCGCAGAAACUUCGGAGGCGACGUUUCCGUGCUGGACGAUGUGCUGCCUAAGGCGCGUGCGCGGCUGCGGAAAGCUGCGAGCUGUGGGCGUGGUCCAAGACAUGGUGGGCCUCCCACCAUGGAUGGAGCGCGAGCAGUGUCUUCUGAAGAGGAAGCCACCACCCUGGAGGCAUGACAGCGGCAGCCGGCGGCGCACAAACAUCCAGCGGCGGCCUGGCAGCAGCGCAGCGCUCGCAACCCACCACAGAACACCCCCCAAAGAAAGGAGCACCGCUGUUAGGCGCCGGCCGCUGUCGUCGUCUUGUCUGGAAACACCGCCGCUGCUCGCCGACGGGCGGCUUCCUCCAUGGGUGGCGGUUACCGGACAGAGGAACGUCUUCGCUGCCAGCACCUGAUGCCCGGUGCUGGCAGCCCAGCGCGGGAGUGAAGC
Pollicipes pollicipes is the source of this 628-nucleotide long non-coding RNA. RefSeq lists it as uncharacterized. The transcript is spliced from 4 exons. Lineage: Eukaryota; Metazoa; Arthropoda; Thecostraca; Pollicipedomorpha; Pollicipedidae. The record is from RefSeq and is a predicted model, not a curated record.